RNAcentral lists this long non-coding RNA (281 nucleotides) under Mytilus galloprovincialis (Mediterranean mussel). The record is from RNAcentral. Lineage: Eukaryota; Metazoa; Mollusca; Bivalvia; Mytilida; Mytilidae.
UGCCUUUUUGUGAUUCUUCGUUACAUUUGUUGUUUUUAUAGUGAUAUUAAGAUGAUAACACAAUAUUGACUGCUGUACCCCUAUUUUUGACAUUUUUACUCUUUGAGUAUGUUUGUUUUGUUCAUACAUCGUUGACAAUGUAAUGGAAUUUGAUGCGACUGUCAUACAAGUGAGAGGUUUAGCUAGCUAUAAAACCAGGUUCAAUCCACCAUUUUCUACAUUAGAAAAUGCCUGUACCAAGUCAGGAAUAUGACAGUUGUUAUCCAUUCGUUUGAUGUGUG